RNAcentral lists this ribosomal RNA (361 nucleotides) under uncultured Erysipelothrix sp. RNAcentral's name for it is "bacterial SSU rRNA". It matches the Rfam family "Bacterial small subunit ribosomal RNA", at positions 1019 to 1382 of the family's 1533-position model. The record is from RNAcentral. Lineage: Bacteria; Bacillati; Bacillota; Erysipelotrichia; Erysipelotrichales; Erysipelotrichaceae.
UCGGGUGACAGGGAGACAGGUGGUGCAUGGUUGUCGUCAGCUCGUGUCGUGAGAUGUUGGGUUAAGUCCCGCAACGAGCGCAACCCUUGUCUUUAGUUACCAUCAUUCAGUUGGGGACUCUAGAGAGACUGCCGGUGAUAAACCGGAGGAAGUGGGGAUGACGUCAAAUCAUCAUGCCCCUUAUGGCCUGGGCUACAAACGUAGUACAAUGGCGUAUACAAAGGGAUGCGAAAGGGCGACCUGGAGCAAAACUCACAAAGUACGUCUCAGUUCAGAUUGGAGUCUGCAACUCGACUCCAUGAAGGCGGAAUCGCUAGUAAUCGCGGAUCAGCAUGCCGCGGUGAAUACGUUCUCGGGGUUU